RNAcentral lists this ribosomal RNA (253 nucleotides) under uncultured bacterium. RNAcentral describes it as "partial 16S ribosomal RNA". It matches the Rfam family "Bacterial small subunit ribosomal RNA", at positions 524 to 776 of the family's 1533-position model. The record is from RNAcentral.
UACAGAGGUGGCAAGCGUUGUUCGGAAUUACUGGGCGUAAAGGGCGCGUAGGCGGUCUUGCAAGUCCCGUGUGAAAUCCCUCGGCUCAACCAAGGAAGUGCUUUCGAAACUGCUGAGCUUGAGUAGUUAAGAGGAUCGCGGAAUUCCCGGUGUAGAGGUGAAAUUCGUAGAUAUCGGGAGGAACACCAGAGGCGAAGGCGGCGAACUUGACGACAACUGACACUCAACUGCGAAAGCGUGGGGAGCAAACAGG